AUGCAGGUUUGUAAGGGUAAAGUAGAGGAAGUUGCAGAGAAUGAAGGUGUUGGUGAUGAAGAUCAAGAAAGGAUGGCAUUGAAGUCCAUUAGCAAGACACUGUUGGAAGAUAAGGUACAAGGCAUUUGGUGUGAAGUUAGAAGCAUGACAUUUGGUGGUGAGGAUGGACAUAGAGAUGGAUCCGUAUGGCAUGUCUUGACAUUCGGUUAG
This is a non-coding RNA of Vicia faba (fava bean), 210 nucleotides long. The record is from the annotation of a GenBank genome assembly. NCBI's taxonomy places the organism in Eukaryota, Viridiplantae, Streptophyta, Magnoliopsida, Fabales, Fabaceae.